RNAcentral lists this ribosomal RNA (253 nucleotides) under uncultured bacterium. RNAcentral's name for it is "partial 16S ribosomal RNA". It matches the Rfam family "Bacterial small subunit ribosomal RNA", at positions 524 to 776 of the family's 1533-position model. The record is from RNAcentral.
UACAGAGGGUGCAAGCGUUAAUCGGAAUUACUGGGCGUAAAGCGUGCGUAGACGGUAGCGUAAGUCGGGUGUGAAAGCCCCGGGCUCAACCUGGGAAUUGCAUUCGAGACUGCUCUGCUAGGGUGCGGAAGAGGGAAGCGGAAUUUCCGGUGUAGCGGUGAAAUGACGUAGAUAUCGGAAGGAACACCAGUGGCGAAAGCGGCUUCCUGGUCCAGCACCGACGUCAGGCACGAAAGCGUGGGGAGCAAACAGG